This 164-nucleotide ribosomal RNA is filed under the name Arctostaphylos tomentosa. RNAcentral describes it as "5.8S ribosomal RNA". It matches the Rfam family "5.8S ribosomal RNA". Rfam says of the family: 5.8S ribosomal RNA (5.8S rRNA) is a component of the large subunit of the eukaryotic ribosome. RNAcentral also lists the same sequence under 8 other names. Lineage: Eukaryota; Viridiplantae; Streptophyta; Magnoliopsida; Ericales; Ericaceae. The record is from RNAcentral.
UAAACGACUCUCGGCAACGGAUAUCUCGGCUCUUGCAUCGAUGAAGAACGCAGCGAAAUGCGAUACUUGGUGUGAAUUGCAGAAUCCCGUGAACCAUCGAGUCUUUGAACGCAAGUUGCGCCUGAAGCCAUUAGGUUGAAGGCACGUCUGCCUGGGCGUCACGC